UGGUCAGCCAUUGACUGGGUGUGAUGUCACUUAAGGGUUGAGUGUGGCUUAUUGUUGAACUGAGGGAUGUUGAUGAAACAUGGGUCAUCAUGUUGUCUGAACCCAACUGAGAUGAACUGUGGUGAACAACCGAGUUUCUAAACCCAACAAACUAUGGUUUCUUUUCACUGUUCAUGGUUAAGUUUUGGCUUGUUAGUACAGCUGGGCUCCAUCAACAUGAAAACCCAUAGCAACCUAUGGUUUAGCAUCAACACAUAUUCUUCCCAUAGUCAACCCCUGAAUGCGGCUUAUCAUGUCUCCUCAACUUGGUAAUCAUGUUGGGUCUGUGUAACAGGUGGGUGGUUUUCCCCUUUCCGGAUAGUUUUGUUUGUUCCAUACGUAUCUAUUAGUGCAUCCUUUUCUUUGAAAUGUAAGAACAAUGCUCUUUGUAAGUGAAGAAAGAAAUAGAGUAUGUUUUUAAUAAGUGGACUACCAACUAACAAUCAGUUGUUUUGCAUUCAUACAGCAAUGAACACGCUUAUAAACAAGAAGGAAUUUUCUCCUCCAGGAAAACUUUCCUAUUAUUUAAAAGCCAUUAAUGAAAGUGGUGGGGGAGGGCACCAGCGGAGCCACAGCUUUUGAUUUUGGCAAUACUGCCUACCACACCACCAGUUGCAGAAUCUGCUUCUGAUUGGGACAAGCCAGUGUUCCAUAUUAAAGCUUCAAAUGUGGACCACUUGCGCCUAUACCGUUCUGUCAGACAAGAAUGGAAGAAUCUGUAUGUGGAGGCAUGACACCACAACUUCUUUUCCUUGAUCCUCGACUUGAGCUCCUGAUUUAGGCUGUAAGCCUGCAAGCCCAUCUUUUCUAAACUGCUGGGAUUUCUUGUCACUAUAAAACUAAGGAUGAAACAAGAAGGGAACUACAGGCAAAGGAGAAAUUAUGCUAUUUCUUUUUCCGUAUCUUCCAUGUUUGAUCAUGUUUCAUAACGAAGUGUUCAGUGCUACAAGCUGAAGGUCACAUUUUGAAAUGGCAGUCCCCAUCCCCCAACCCUUCGUAAUGAACCAUCAUUUUGUUUGCUUAUAAGGGAGGAUAUUUACCAAUUGUUUCUGGAACCUAGAUAGCCUGGGGAAAUGCAAGCCUCCUCUCUUGCCUUUGGUAUAUAGAAUUUUUGCUUUCAUUAUUGAGAAUGAACUUCACAAGUCAGGUUUGCCAUUAGUGUAAUCUUUGCUCAUUUAUAGAAGCUGGUUGUGUUUGGACAGUUAAGGCUGCCAAUCCCAUUUAUACGCUUAUAUGGAAAUACACUCCCUGCCUUCACCUUGUCCUUGAGAGUUCUAGAGGACUCAAAUGUGGGCCCACUAUUUGGUGACCUUAUGUUGGUGUAACACAAGUAAUAAUGGGCGCUGGAUUUGGGUUUUUUGGAUGUUCAGCAUGGCUAUUUUUGCUUUAGACAGCCUGUGAAAGCAGGCAACUUCAGGGGGCUCUGGCGUAACUUCCACGUCCCCCCACCACAAGCAGUACUUCUGCCACUCGGCUGCAAUUCAGGGAUGCAACAGUGGCGAAAACCAGUCCGUCAUUUACUGUGAAAUUUGGCUGCAAGCUGCUACGAGGGCUUAAAAAGGACCAGCAUAGUAUGUUCUAAAGCUAAAGUUACCCUUUUAAAGCCUGUGUGGCAGUCUGCUGCCAGAAUUCGUUGGCAAACGCCUGACAGUUUUUCUGCUGCUGCACUACUGCAGAUGCGGUCUGCAACAGAGACAGAGAGCACAUGCUGCUCCAUGCGUAGGAUUGUUCUGCAUUGCCUGAAAAUAGAGUUAGAAAUGUACUGAGUGCUUUCUGCCCUCCAGAGAGCUAUAUUGCACCAGGAUCUUUGCACAUUGGAAAAGAAGCACAUGUGAAGUCAGCAUGGGCUUGAACUAGUCAUCUGGACCUUAGAUCACUUUUGGGGUUCUGUUUUAGGUGUUAAUGUUUUAUGUAUUCUCAGCUUCAAGAACUGGCAUAACAUAUUAUCUUAAAAUAACAACUGAAUGGAUGAAUUGAGAAUAAGCAAAAUCAGUGCCUAUUUAUUUAUUUAGUGUAUCCCCCCAUCUUUUUCCUGCAAGGAAGCUAUGGUUUUCCUCCAUCGCUUCUCCAUUUUACUUUCACAACAACCCUGCUGGGUAUGUUAGGUGAGAGUGAAUUACUGACCCAAAGUUACCCAGUAAGUUUCAUGGCCAUGUGGGACUAGAACCCAGUUUUCCCAUCACCCAGUCUGGCACUCUAAGUGCUACAUCACAGACUCUCUUUGUUAUUUUGUUUACUUUUUUUCCUUUCAAGGAAGUCAAGGCAGCUUACAUAAUUCUCCUCCUCUCAGUCUUAUCUUCGCAACAACAAAAACCUUAAGGUAGGUUAGCCUGAGAGGCAGUUUCUGUCCCAAAGGCACCCAGUGAACUUUGUGGCCACAUCAGGUCCCUAGUCCAACAGAUUAGCCACACUGGCUGUUUUGCACUUUUGUUUCGUUCCAGCUUUGCUCCCCUUUAAGCAUUUCCAGCAGUUCACACCACAUCCACAAUACUUGCUGGAGACCCAAGUUAGAAGAGGAGCUUAGUAUCUUUAAGUCUUGUUUAUUCAGGAUGAAGUUUCAGCUUUUGCACAUCUGUGCUGAAUUAGUUCCUUGGGCUUGCUUUCUUUUUAUUUUUUAUUUAAAAAGUGGGGACAGCUUUGCCAAAAGAACAAGUUUAUUCUAGUUCAGCUUCUCAUUGAAGGUUAGGCCAUGACUUCAGCUGAAGCAGGGACAGGUCACUACAACAUAUUGGUAUGCUGGUGUGUGCUCAGGUCUCCAAUUUACAGCCUGUUACAUCUGUACAAUUACUAAGGCCACCAGCAGUGAAAGAAAAUAUUAAUCCCUAGACUUAGUUGGCCCUGAUCAGAAUAUUCAAUGUCUUUCUCAGAGCAGGCACCUUCAGUUUCCAGAGACAGAAUAUAUUUAUGAAUACUAAGGACAGACCAGUGUUGUGUUUAUUCUUAUUAUUCUUGUUCCUUAAUUCAGUUUAUUAUCACCCUGUCCCACCAAGCAGCUCACUUUGCAUUGGGCAAAAGUCUCAAUCUCUGCAAAAUACAGAUACCUAUUUUUUGCACUGACAAUUUACACACUGGACUACAGCACACACAUACACACAGAGAACCAUAUCCAGCCAGCAUGACUUUUGUAGUCCAAGAAAUCUGGAAGCAGCUAGAUUGGGAAAGGUUGUUUUAUGUCAUAGAUCCAUUUCCCAGGACAGCAAGAAAGCAGACAAAUUCUUUCAAAAUACUGAUGGUUAUACAUUUCCUUGGUGCUUAGUUAUAUUUUUAAAUGUAAUUCUUCUACAGGCCACUUUUGCAUGCAUGCAUAUAUCUUCCCAAGUGGCCACACUAGCCAUGGGGGGUUGUAAGAGAUUCAUCCUCCAUUAAAUGAGCAGUACAUUUGAAAGACUAGUGCAACAUCUGUUAAAGGGAGGCCCUGUCUCUGGGUAAACAGGUGGAAAAUUAACUGUAUUCUGCCCUAAGAAGAUACUGAGAUUCAAAUAUUUCUAUUAAUCCUGCAUACAAACCUACUCCUGGCUCCCCUGCAUUUAAAGAUAGCCCAGAAACCAGAUAACCCAUCAAAUGGACAGCAUUCCGCCAGUGCUUGCAUCUGGUACUGGAGCAGAGUGGCUUCUACACCUAGACAGCCUUUGGGAAGCCCAUGGGACCUUGAUAUUAGUUUCCAUUUGGAAAAAUGUGGCACCUUUUCAGUGGAUAUGGCACAUACAGCUUUUCCUCCAACUUUUCUUUUUGUUAGCAAACUCACACAUGUUCUAGGUUUUAUAUAUAAAAUAGCCAAAGAUACUCAGAAUUUCAUUUCCCCACCUUUGCAUCAUCCAGUUUCCACCCUUUAACUACUUGCAUCUUCUGUCCUGAAAACUAGAUUUUCAGAAGGAAAAAAACAUGAAUUGUAUCUGUGGAAGUGCUCACUGUGGUCAUUAAUACCCUCUGUCUAGAAUACCUUCUGCUUUUCCCUGUGGAGUUCUAACAAAAUAUCCAGCACUUCUCACACAUUCUGAGAAGUGUUUGGCUGCAUAUAAUUUAGGGACUUAUAGUCUUUUAGGAGGAUAAGGAGGUGGCAGAAGCAACCACUACUUCAGAUAAGAAGCAAGACAUAUCCUAAAACAGAAUCUCCUUUUCCAAAACAUCUGUAUGUUUUCUUGAACAUCUCUGUGGGCACAGGUCACCUGUAAAAAGUUCCUCUUUCUGAGUCUGCUAAGCAAAUUUGUAUCCUGCCCAUGCAUUAAGAUCUCCACAUGUGACUCUUCUGAGUACCAAUUCGUAAAGCAUUUUUGGAUGUACCAAAUAAAGGUCCUUUUCUGUGGUGGCACCCUGAUGCCAGAACAAUAUUUGUAGGGAAGUUAAACUGGUGCUGAUGCUACUACAGUCUUUUUGGCAUCAGAGCAAAUUGGUUAUGUUUUGUACUUAUGUCCUUUUUUUCUCUUUUUUUGUUUGUUCUGUUUUAAGCCACUCAGAGAGCCCUAUGGGCUAUGGGUCGGCAUACAAAUAUAAUAAAUAAAAAUGAAAGUAAAUGUUUGUACAAGCAUUUAAAACUAGUUUAAUUGCACCUUUUCUGAUUUGUAGUUCUAUGGCCUUGUUGCCUCUUAUUUAUGUUUGAAAGAUGUUGUAUUGCACUACAUUGUUUUUAUUGUAUUCUACAUUGAGUAUGGUCUGCUGCCCUGUUAUCCAAGGGAGGACAACUAAGAAAGUAUAAACAAUAAUUUUAUAUAAACAA
This is a long non-coding RNA of Varanus komodoensis (Komodo dragon), 4753 nucleotides long. RefSeq lists it as uncharacterized. Lineage: Eukaryota; Metazoa; Chordata; Lepidosauria; Squamata; Varanidae. The transcript has 2 exons. The record is from RefSeq and is a predicted model, not a curated record.